RNAcentral lists this ribosomal RNA (508 nucleotides) under uncultured bacterium. RNAcentral describes it as "partial 16S ribosomal RNA". It matches the Rfam family "Bacterial small subunit ribosomal RNA", at positions 28 to 523 of the family's 1533-position model. The record is from RNAcentral.
GAUGAACGCUAGCUACAGGCUUAACACAUGCAAGUCGAGGGGAAACGAUAUUGGAAGCUUGCUUCCGAUAGGCGUCGACCGGCGCACGGGUGAGUAACGCGUAUCCAACCUGCCCACCACUUGGGGAUAACCUUACGAAAGUAAGACUAAUACCCAAUGACGUCCAUAGAAGACAUCUGAAAUGGAUUAAAGAUUUAUCGGUGAUGGAUGGGGAUGCGUCUGAUUAGCUUGUUGGCGGGGUAACGGCCCACCAAGGCGACGAUCAGUAGGGGUUCUGAGAGGAAGGUCCCCCACAUUGGAACUGAGACACGGUCCAAACUCCUACGGGAGGCAGCAGUGAGGAAUAUUGGUCAAUGGGCGAGAGCCUGAACCAGCCAAGUAGCGUGCAGGAUGACGGCCCUAUGGGUUGUAAACUGCUUUUAUAAGGGAAUAAAGUGAGUCUCGUGAGACUUUUUGCAUGUACCUUAUGAAUAAGGACCGGCUAAUUCCGUGCCAGCCGCCGCGGUAA